GGGGGGGGGGGGGGGGGGGGGGGGGGGGGGCGGGGCGGGGGGGGGGGGGGGGCGGGUGUGGGGGGGGCGGGUGGCGGACGGGGGAGGGACACGUGAGUAGCCGGCCCUGGACUUUGGGAGAACUGCAGGAAACUGGGGCGAGUGCCGGAUAGGAGCUCCUGCUGCAUGGGGGGGGUUGGAAAGUUUCGGCGGUUGGGGAUGGACUCGCGGCUUAUCAGCUUGUUGGUGGGGUAGUGGCUUACCAAGGCUUUGACGGGUAGCCGGCCUGAGAGGGUGACCGGCCACAUUGGGACUGAGAUACGGCCCAGACUCCUACGGGAGGCAGCAGUGGGGAAUAUUGCACAAUGGGCGGAAGCCUGAUGCAGCAACGCCGCGUGCGGGAUGACGGCCUUCGGGUUGUAAACCGCUUUCGCCUGUGACGAAGCGUGAGUGACGGUAAUGGGUAAAGAAGCACCGGCUAACUACGUG
Molecule: ribosomal RNA, 468 nt
Filed under: uncultured bacterium
Lineage: Bacteria
Description: partial 16S ribosomal RNA
Rfam family: Bacterial small subunit ribosomal RNA (bases 49-468)
Source: RNAcentral